This 246-nucleotide long non-coding RNA is filed under the name Lathyrus oleraceus (garden pea). RNAcentral describes it as "Pisum sativum (pea) long non-coding RNA (PSAT_LNC013100)". Lineage: Eukaryota; Viridiplantae; Streptophyta; Magnoliopsida; Fabales; Fabaceae. The record is from RNAcentral.
UUGGUUCUCCUAGCAACAAAAGGAAAUCUAAAUUUCUUGGUGUUCUUCCCUCUCCCCUAGCUCUAAGUUUUCAAUUCUACUUUUACCUCUUUUUCUCUAACUCCCCAAAACACGUAUUGUAACCUCUAUCCCCUCACAAUUCUCUUUUUUUAUCCAAAAACCUAAUUCCCUCGCUAGGUUAUCCCCAUAUUAACCUUAAUAUUUUUCUAUAAUGCCUACUUUAUCUUCACUUACUCAACAUAAGCC